AUUGAACGCUGGCGGCAGGCUUAACACAUGCAAGUCGAGCGGGGUGAUGGUGCUUGCACUAUCACUUAGCGGCGGACGGGUGAGUAAUGCUUAGGAAUCUGUCUAUUAGUGGGGGACAACAUCUCGAAAGGGAUGCUAAUACCGCAUACGUCCUACGGGAGAAAGCAGGGGAUCACUUGUGACCUUGCGCUAAUAGAUGAGCCUAAGUCGGAUUAGCUAGUUGGUGGGGUAAAGGCCUACCAAGGCGACGAUCUGUAUCGGGACUGGGAGGAUGUUGCGGCAGAGUGGGAAGGAGAGCCGACCCAGGUUGCUACGGGGGGCAGCAGUUGGGAAUAUUGGACAAUGGUGGGAACCCUGAACCAGCCAUGCCGCGUGUGUGAAGAAGGGCUUAUGGUUGUAAAGCACUUUAAGCGAGGAGGAGGCUCUUUUGGUUAAUACCCAAGAUGAGUGGACGUUACUCGCAGAAUAAGCACCGGCUAACUCUGUGCCAGCCGCCGCAGUAA
This 503-nucleotide ribosomal RNA is filed under the name uncultured bacterium. RNAcentral's name for it is "partial 16S ribosomal RNA". It matches the Rfam family "Bacterial small subunit ribosomal RNA", at positions 30 to 523 of the family's 1533-position model. The record is from RNAcentral.